This 366-nucleotide ribosomal RNA is filed under the name uncultured bacterium. Its description in RNAcentral is "bacterial SSU rRNA". It matches the Rfam family "Bacterial small subunit ribosomal RNA", at positions 32 to 376 of the family's 1533-position model. The record is from RNAcentral.
AAUCAACGCUGGCGGCGUGCCUCAGACAUGCAAGUCGAACGCGAAAGUCUCCUUCGGGGGACAAGUAGAGUGGCGCACGGGUGAGUAACACGUAGGUAAUCUACCUUCGGAUGGGGAAGUAACAACCGGAAACGGUUGCUAAUACCGCAUAAUGCAACGGCACCUAAUGGUGACAGUUGUUAAAGCGGGGGAGUCGAAAGACCUCGCGUCUGAAGAGGAGCCUGCGGCGGAUUAGCUAGUUGGAAGGUAAUGGCUUACCAAGGCUACGAUCCGUAACCGGCCUGAGAGGGCGGUCGGUCACACUGACACUGACAUACGGGUCAGACUCCUACGGGAGGCAGCAGUCGGGAAUUUUGGGCAAUGGGC